Molecule: unclassified non-coding RNA, 438 nt
Filed under: soil metagenome
Description: partial contains 5.8S ribosomal RNA, internal transcribed spacer 2, and large subunit ribosomal RNA
Rfam family: 5.8S ribosomal RNA (bases 1-120)
Source: RNAcentral
GAUGAAGAACGCAGCGAAAUGCGAUACGUAAUGUGAAUUGCAGAAUUCAGUGAAUCAUCGAAUCUUUGAACGCAUAUUGCGCUCUUUGGUAUUCCGAAGAGCAUGCUUGUUUGAGUAUCAGUAAACACCUCAAAACUUUUGAUUUUUUUUUAAAAAAAAAAGGUUUUGGACUUGAGCAAUCCCAACACCAAUCUUUUUUAGAUCGGUGGCGGGUUGCUUGAAAUGCAGGUGCAGCUGGACAUUCUCCUGAGCUAAAAGCAUAUUUAUUUAGUCCCGUCAAACGGAUUAUUACUUUUGCUGCAGCUAAUAUAAAGGGAGUUUGACCGUAUUGGCUGACUGAUGCAGGAUUUCACAAGGGUCGGCAACGAUUCUUGUAAAACUCGAUCUCAAAUCAAGUAAGACUACCCGCUGAACUUAAGCAUAUCAAUAAGCGGAGGA